This 140-nucleotide ribosomal RNA is filed under the name uncultured bacterium. RNAcentral describes it as "partial 16S ribosomal RNA". It matches the Rfam family "Bacterial small subunit ribosomal RNA", at positions 796 to 934 of the family's 1533-position model. The record is from RNAcentral.
CUGGCCGUAAACGAUGGAUACUAGGCGUAUCGGGUAUCGACCCCUGAUGUGCCGCAGCUAACGCGAUAAGUAUCCCGCCUGAGUAGUACGGCCGCAAGGUUGAAACUCAAAGGAAUUGACGGGGGCCCGCACAAGCGGUG